This 161-nucleotide unclassified non-coding RNA is filed under the name Diaporthe vaccinii. RNAcentral's name for it is "nternal transcribed spacer 2". Lineage: Eukaryota; Fungi; Ascomycota; Sordariomycetes; Diaporthales; Diaporthaceae. The record is from RNAcentral.
CAACCCUCAAGCCUGGCUUGGUGAUGGGGCACUGCUUCUUACCCGAGAAGCAGGCCCUGAAAUUCAGUGGCGAGCUCGCCAGGACCCCGAGCGCAGUAGUUAAACCCUCGCUCUGGAAGGCCCUGGCGGUGCCCUGCCGUUAAACCCCCAACUUCUGAAAA